RNAcentral lists this unclassified non-coding RNA (329 nucleotides) under soil metagenome. RNAcentral describes it as "partial contains 5.8S ribosomal RNA, internal transcribed spacer 2, and large subunit ribosomal RNA". The stretch from base 1 to 120 matches the Rfam family "5.8S ribosomal RNA", at positions 35 to 154 of the family's 154-position model. The record is from RNAcentral.
GAUGAAGAACGUAGCGAAAUGCGAUAAGUAGUGUGAAUUGCAGAAUUCAGUGAAUCAUCGAAUCUUUGAACGCACAUUGCGCCCCUUGGUAUCCCGAGGGGCAUGCCUGUUCGAGCGUCAUUUCACCACCCAAGCCUGGCUUGGUGUUGGGCGACGUCCCCUUUGGGGACGCGCCUCGAAACGCUCGGCGGCGUGGCACCGGCUUUAAGCGUAGCAGAAUCUUUCGCUUUGGAAGUCGGGGCCCCGUCUGCCGGAAGACCUACUCGCAAGGUUGACCUCGGAUCAGGCAGGGAUACCCGCUGAACUUAAGCAUAUCAAUAAGCGGAGGA